Ctenopharyngodon idella (grass carp) is the source of this 1384-nucleotide long non-coding RNA. RefSeq lists it as uncharacterized. The transcript is spliced from 4 exons. NCBI's taxonomy places the organism in Eukaryota, Metazoa, Chordata, Actinopteri, Cypriniformes, Xenocyprididae. The record is from RefSeq and is a predicted model, not a curated record.
AACACGAGCACUCCGCCAGAGCACUAGGUUGGAUCUAUAUGUCACUUAUUCCACCACGGCCAUUCAACCGCUUUUGCGUGCAGGACUUUAUUAAAUAUCAAGCUACAGACUAUAAUUAGGCAUAAUCACAAUAAGUGUUUUCAUUGAAUGAAUUCCAAUUUUGGCGCGAGUCUUUUUUUUUAGCGCGGAGUAUUACGGGAGUACAUCGCCCUUUAAAAAUAAAAAAGUCUCUCUUCUUUGCCAACACGUGCAUUGCCAGCCUCUGUUUGUGUGGGCUCUGACAUGCUGCAAAGAGGGUCAGACUGACCGCCGUUUUCUUUUUUUGCCAUAGUGUUUGGAAAAAAGAUAUAAUCUAUUACUAUUAAUACUUGGUGGGAAGAAAAAAAUGCCUAGCAAACCACAGUUGGAUCACCAGAAAAGCAAGAACAAGAAGAUGAAGAGCAAAGAAGAAGAAAAGCUGAGAGAAACAAACACAGUGAAACCUGUUAGAUGCAAGAGCAUGGACCCUCUGAUUAUAGAUUUUUCUUGUGAUGAAGCUGUUGAGUCUCAUUCUGGUGAAGCAGAGAAGAUCCAGGAUGAGAAAACAACAGGACCAUGAACAUCAUGUGAACUUCCAUCUGUUGGAUAUUUAACAGUUAGAGUCUUCCAUGGCUGCACAUUUGGAUCUGCACUUGCAUACAGCGAUAUGUUGUCUGCCGUUUGCAGAUUCCUGGCAAACAAGAAGACAAUAUAAGUUAUAACCGUAAUUAAAGUAAACUAUACCCGUUUUCUAUCUCCAUGCAGUAUAUAUUCGCAGUUUCUGGAAAAAAAAAAAAAAAAAGUGACAAUUUUAACAUGCUAUAAAAAAUUAUCUGUGGGGUAUUUUGAGCUAAAACUUCACAUACACACUCUGGGGACAUCAGAGACUUAUUUUACAUCUUGUAAAAAGGGUCAUAAUAGGUCCCCUUUAAGUGUGUUGGAGAAGUUGAUGAAUGUUUAAUUAUCAAAAAAAGGAGCAUUACUCUUUUCCUUCCUUCUUAAAGUAUUUAUUAUACUUUAUUGCUUGUUAAACUGUUUUCAUUUUCUGAGAACCAAUUAUAACUGACCCUUUUCUGCAUUUAUGGCACUUUAUUUUUCAAAACAAUGUCAAACAUUUUCGUUUUUGUCUGAGAACCAAAAAAUUGUCUGCUGUAAAACCUUACAUCAUAUGAAACUGAAGCAGUUUUCCUGUCAUUUGUCUUUGUUCGUCUCAGUUGUUGGGGUUGAUCAGAGGUAACACUUUCUGAUCAUUUGUUAUUUGCAUUUUUAAACAUGUUAUUAUUAUUACAUCAGUAUCAUCCUGUUUAGGAAUUUAAUGCUUAUUUUUAGUAGUAAAAUUAUAUACAACAUGAUAUAUGAUUUAAGU